Molecule: ribosomal RNA, 608 nt
Filed under: Bisbaumannia salifodinae
Lineage: Bacteria; Pseudomonadati; Pseudomonadota; Gammaproteobacteria; Oceanospirillales; Halomonadaceae
Description: bacterial SSU rRNA
Rfam family: Bacterial small subunit ribosomal RNA
Source: RNAcentral
CAUGCGCAGCUACACAUGCAAGUCGAGCGGAAACGAUGGAAGCUUGCUUCCAGGCGUCGAGCGGCGGACGGGUGAGUAAUGCAUAGGAAUCUGCCCGAUAGUGGGGGAUAACCUGGGGAAACUCAGGCUAAUACCGCAUACGUCCUACGGGAGAAAGCAGGGGAUCUUCGGACCUUGCGCUAUCGGAUGAGCCUAUGUCGGAUUAGCUAGUUGGUGAGGUAACGGCUCACCAAGGCGACGAUCCGUAGCUGGUCUGAGAGGAUGAUCAGCCACACUGGGACUGAGACACGGCCCAGACUCCUACGGGAGGCAGCAGUGGGGAAUAUUGGACAAUGGGGGAAACCCUGAUCCAGCCAUGCCGCGUGUGUGAAGAAGGCCUUCGGGUUGUAAAGCACUUUCAGCGAGGAAGAAGGCCUGAGGGCUAAUACCCCUCAGGAAGGACAUCACUCGCAGAAGAAGCACCGGCUAACUCCGUGCCAGCAGCCGCGGUAAUACGGAGGGUGCGAGCGUUAAUCGGAAUUACUGGGCGUAAAGCGCGCGUAGGUGGCUUGAUAAGCCGGUUGUGAAAGCCCCGGGCUCAACCUGGGAACGGCAUCCGGAACUGUCAG